AAAGAAACCCUCUUGAGCGUCACUCUAGUCCGACUUUCUAAAAUGACUUGAGAGGUGUGGGAUAAGUGGGAGCCGAAAACAGCCAAAGUGAAAUACCAUUACUUUCAAUGUUUUUUUUACUUAUUUUGUGGAACAAAGGUGGGGCAAUGCCCCUUCUUUUGAAACUAAGGUCCGUGCAUGCAAGUCGAUCCAAGCAGAAGACAUUGUCUGGUGAGAAGUUUGACUGAGACGACACAUCUAUUAAAAGAUAAUGCAGAUGUCCUAAGAUGAACUCAACAAGAAUAGAAAUCUUGUGUAGAACAAAAUGAUAAAAGUUCAUUUGAUUCUAAUUUAUAGUACGAACACAAAUUGUGAAAGCGUAGCCUUAUUUGGAAUUUGAAGUUAGAGGUAUUAGAAAAGUUAUCACAUGGAUAAUUGGCUUGUGGCAAUCAAGCGUUCAUAGUGAUAUUGCUUUUUGAUCAUUUGAUGUCAGCUCUUCUUAUCGUUGUGAAGUAGAAUUCACCUUGUAUUGGAUUGUUCACCCACUGAUAGGUAACGUGAGGUCAAAGUUGAUAUUUUUAC
This 561-nucleotide non-coding RNA is filed under the name Eucalyptus grandis. RNAcentral describes it as "Eukaryotic large subunit ribosomal RNA". It matches the Rfam family "Eukaryotic large subunit ribosomal RNA", at positions 2403 to 2992 of the family's 3401-position model. The record is from Rfam by way of RNAcentral. Lineage: Eukaryota; Viridiplantae; Streptophyta; Magnoliopsida; Myrtales; Myrtaceae.